Molecule: ribosomal RNA, 253 nt
Filed under: uncultured bacterium
Lineage: Bacteria
Description: partial 16S ribosomal RNA
Rfam family: Bacterial small subunit ribosomal RNA
Source: RNAcentral
UACGGAGGGUGCAAACGUUGCUCGGAAUCAUUGGGCGUAAAGCGCGCGUAGGCGGCUACUUAAGUCGGAUGUGAAAGCCCUUGGCUCAACUGAGGAAGUGCACCCGAAACUGAGUGGCUUGAGUACUAAAGAGGGUCGCGGAAUUCCCGGUGUAGAGGUGAAAUUCGUAGAUAUCGGGAGGAACACCGGUGGCGAAGGCGGCGACCUGGGUAGAUACUGACGCUGAGGCGCGAAAGCGUGGGGAGCAAACAGG